RNAcentral lists this ribosomal RNA (252 nucleotides) under uncultured bacterium. Its description in RNAcentral is "partial 16S ribosomal RNA". It matches the Rfam family "Bacterial small subunit ribosomal RNA", at positions 524 to 776 of the family's 1533-position model. The record is from RNAcentral.
UACGAAGGGGGCUAGCGUUGCUCGGAAUUACUGGGCGUAAAGGGCGCGUAGGCGGAUAUUUAAGUUAGAGGUGAAAGCCCAGGGCUCAACCCUGGAAUAGCCUUUAAUACUGGAUAUCUUGAGUUCGGGAGAGGUGAGUGGAACUCCGAGUGUAGAGGUGAAAUUCGUAGAUAUUCGGAAGAACACCAGUGGCGAAGGCGACUCACUGGCCGAUACUGACGCUGAGGCGCGAAAGCGUGGGGAGCAAACAGG